UCUGUGACAACCUAGGAGACCAUCUGG
This 27-nucleotide non-coding RNA is filed under the name Cricetulus griseus (Chinese hamster). Lineage: Eukaryota; Metazoa; Chordata; Mammalia; Rodentia; Cricetidae. The record is from RNAcentral.